This 460-nucleotide ribosomal RNA is filed under the name uncultured bacterium. RNAcentral describes it as "partial 16S ribosomal RNA". It matches the Rfam family "Bacterial small subunit ribosomal RNA", at positions 338 to 795 of the family's 1533-position model. The record is from RNAcentral.
CCUACGGGUGGCAGCAGUGAGGAAUAUUGGUCAAUGGACGAGAGUCUGAACCAGCCAAGUAGCGUGAAGGAUGACUGCCCUCUGGGUUGUAAACUUCUUUUAUAUGGGAAUAAAACAGGGUAUGCAUACCCUCUUGUAUUUAUCUUAUCAAUAAGGAUCGGCUAACUUCGCGCCAGCACCCCCGGUAAUAUGGAGGAUCCGAGCGUUAUCCGGAUUUAUUGGGUUUAAAGGGAGCGGAGGUGGGUUGUUAAGUCAGGUGUGAAAGUUUGCGGCUCAACCGUGAAAUUGCAGUUGAAACUGGCAGUCUUGAGUGCAGUAGAGGUGGGCGGAAUUCGUGGUGUAGCGGUGAAAUGCUUAGAUAUCACGAAGAACUCCGGUUGCGAAGGCAGCUCACUGGACUGUAACUGACACUGAUGCUCGAAAGUGUGGGUAUCAAACAGGAUUAGAUACCCGGGUAGUC